Molecule: long non-coding RNA, 418 nt
Filed under: Manihot esculenta (cassava)
Lineage: Eukaryota; Viridiplantae; Streptophyta; Magnoliopsida; Malpighiales; Euphorbiaceae
Description: long non-coding RNA (MESC_LNC012290)
Source: RNAcentral
AUCAACUUGCAUAAAACUUUCAUAAAACAUAAAAGAAGCAUAGAUCGAAGCUUACCUCUUGAAGAUCGAGAGGAAGAACGACCCUAGCUUGGAAAAAUGGAGGGAUUUAGCUCCAAGACUUCCAAGCUCCAAACUUGCUUAAAAACACUCAAAAACUUUUGUGGAACCUUAAAACUCAAAGAAAAUGGUGGGGAUUGAAGGAAAAACACAAUAUUUGGGAGAGGGAGGUAGGAAGCUUGCUGUGGCUGAAAAUGGGAGAAAACUCUCCCAUUUCGGCUAAGUGCCCCUUUUAUAGGUGGCUGGCCAGGCCACGUUCGGGGGCCGAAAGUGCCUCCGCAUGCAUGCAAGGUUCGGCGGCCGAACUUGGAGUUCGGCGGCCGAACCUGCAUUUCCCUCGCUCAAAAUUUUCGGGCGCCUA